CCACGCACCCUCAGAUGCUGGCCUUAACGGGGAGAAGUCUGCUCGGAGCCCAAGUGCCGGUCCCACAGAGCGCAUUUCGUGUCACCCGCUGGUGACGCCCAUCAGGUGCCGACACGAUCCCUGUUCUCACUCGGACAUCUCCCUCCGAGGACGUUCAUUCACACACUGCCCGGGUUUCACUUGGAUGCUGCUGGUUCAUUUGGAAUGAUGUGUGGAAUGACUCGGUGAUCCUCCCGAGGACCUCCUGAGCAGCAAUUUCUCUGUCUUCUCCCCGCGCAGUGCCUUGCACAAGCCUCAGAAAUACACAGUACAGCCCAAGCAUGGUGGUUUGGUUGUACUUUUACCCACCUGUCCGUAGAAAAGCAUAUUUCUUGUCUCUUUGCUCUGAUUGUUUAACUUGUGCUGGUGGCUCUGAGUUUACACCUCUGCUCAAAGCACACGCAGAAUCUUUGCUUACUUCAGUGAGAGACAUUUGGGACUGAAGCACAUCAGUUCACAGUCCAGAGUCUGUGCAGUCACCAAGCCCAGGCAGCAUUUCAUUGCCCACCAGUUUUCUCCACAGCUCACUGAUAGGGGCACUGCCAGGUGAUGUGCUCGGCUCCCUUCCCAGGCACCUCAUCACAGCCCCCGACAUUUUCCAAACACCAUCUGCUAGUGUUUAUUUUGGCCCUUCUACAGGUGUUUCCAAAUUAUUUUGUGGAAGAACAUGGAAAACAUGAUUUAGGGCAACCAUUGAAGGAACUGUGAGACUGAAGGUCUGAUAAAGCUCAGUCUGUGAAAUGUUUCUUCAGCUACCUCAAGGCAAGUGCUGACAUUACCAGGAAGCAAGCAGUGCUAAAGAAACAAAGGUGUAUAUAAGUGGAAGCCUGGGCUGAGACUGCAUGCGUUGAAAUGGAAGGUGCCCAGCCAAACAUCGAAGUGUUUCUGCUGACUUACCGUGGAACUUUGUCCUUUUGCUGAAGAACUACUGUGGGAUUUCAGGCACGGUUGAGUCUUGAUGAAUUGUGAGGCAAAAUUUGAUUUUGAUUAAUUAUUUGGUAAGUUCUAAAAAUUGCAUACACAUGGGGGAAGUCUCCCUAUAACAUGCAUUUCUCUGGUUUCCAUUCCUUGUCGUGCUGCUGUUGGGGAUAUUGAACACCUCCAGUUGUGGAAUCCCUGCCCCGGGAAAAGGACGAUGUCAGCUAAGCACAGGCAGUGCUGAGAUUUAUAGAGAAGCAAAGACAACUUCUGUUAUUAAGCAAAGAAAGCUGAGCUGGAUAAAAAGCUUGCUUGAGUAAAAUGAACCUUUUAUUUUUCUUUUUUUCUUCUUCCUCUUUUUCUUUCUUAAGCUUAACAAAAAAGAAAAAUGGAAAAUCCCCACUGAUUGCAUCCAGCUGUUAAAAUUUUAUGAUACCGAGAUUCCCAGUUGUCAUGACCACUUCAUGUAGUUUAAUAUGCAGUCGUAUUCUUUUCAGUUUCAUUUUCUUCCCCAACUUUAGUUAAUAAAACACCUUUCAGACAGCCUGUUCUUAGCA
Passer domesticus (house sparrow) is the source of this 1514-nucleotide long non-coding RNA. RefSeq lists it as uncharacterized. The record is from RefSeq and is a predicted model, not a curated record. NCBI's taxonomy places the organism in Eukaryota, Metazoa, Chordata, Aves, Passeriformes, Passeridae. The transcript has 2 exons.